Cervus elaphus (red deer) is the source of this 155-nucleotide long non-coding RNA. RefSeq lists it as uncharacterized. The transcript has 3 exons. NCBI's taxonomy places the organism in Eukaryota, Metazoa, Chordata, Mammalia, Artiodactyla, Cervidae. The record is from RefSeq and is a predicted model, not a curated record.
AGGAAAUGCAAGAGACACAGUGAUCUCUGAGUCGAGAAGAUAUCCUAGAGUAGGAAAUGGCAACCCACUCCAGUAUUCUUGCCUGGGAAAUUCCAAGGACAGAGGAGCCUGGUGGGCUACAGCCCAUGGGGUCUCAAAGAUUCAGACAUGACUGA